Molecule: ribosomal RNA, 222 nt
Filed under: uncultured bacterium
Lineage: Bacteria
Description: partial 16S ribosomal RNA
Rfam family: Bacterial small subunit ribosomal RNA
Source: RNAcentral
UACGAAGGGUGCAAACGUUGCUCGGAAUUAUUGGGCGUAAAGCGCACGUAGGCGGCUUUUGUAAGUCGGAUGUGAAAAUCCCCUCGGCUUAACCAAGGAAGUGCAUCCGAAAACUACAGAGCUUGAGUACUUAAGAGGAUCGCGGAAUUCCCGGUGUAGAGGUGAAAAUUUCGUAGAUAUCGGGGAGGAACACCAGUAGCGAAAGGGCGGCGAUCUGGGGAA